UACAGGGUCAGUCAUAGUAGUAUGAUAGGUGUUGUUUUACAGGGUCAGUCAUAGUAGUAUGAUAGGUGUUGUUAUACAGGGUCAGUCAUAGUAGUAUGAUAGGUGUUGUUUUACAGGGUCAGUCAUAGUAGUAUGAUAGGUGUUGUUUUACAGGGUCAGUCAUAGUAGUAUGAUAGGUGUUGUUUUACAGGGUCAGUCAUAGUAGUAUGAUAUGUGUUGUUUUACAGGGUCAGUCAUAGUAGUAGUAUGAUAGGUGUUGUUUUACAGGGUCAGUCAUAGUAGUGUGAUAGGUGUUGUUUUACAGGGUCAGUCAUAGUAGUAUGAUAGGUGUUGUUUUACAGGGUCAGUCAUAGUAGUAUGAUAGGUGUUGUUUUACAGGGUCAGUCAUAGUAGUAUGAUAGGUGUUGUUUUACAGGGUCAGUCAUAGUAGUAUGAUAGGUGUUGUUUUACAGGGUCAGUCAUAGUAGUAUGAUAGGUGUUGUUUUACAGGGUCAUAGUAGUAUGAUAGGUGUUGUUUUACAGGGUCAGUCAUAGUAGUAUGAUAGGUGUUGUUUUACAGGGUCAGUCAUAGUAGUAUGAUAGGUGUUGUUUUACAGGGUCAUAGUAGUAUGAUAGGUGUUGUUGUACAGGGUCAGUCAUAGUAGUACGAUAGGUGUUGUUUUACAGGGUCAGUCAUAGUAGUACAGUAACCCUGGAGCAAAUCAGGGUGAAGUGUCUUGGUCAAGGACCAAGUCAGAUUUUUUACCUUGUCUUCGAAA
This is a long non-coding RNA of Oncorhynchus keta (chum salmon), 758 nucleotides long. RefSeq lists it as uncharacterized. The transcript has 3 exons. NCBI's taxonomy places the organism in Eukaryota, Metazoa, Chordata, Actinopteri, Salmoniformes, Salmonidae. The record is from RefSeq and is a predicted model, not a curated record.